Molecule: ribosomal RNA, 447 nt
Filed under: uncultured bacterium
Lineage: Bacteria
Description: bacterial SSU rRNA
Rfam family: Bacterial small subunit ribosomal RNA
Source: RNAcentral
UCCAGACUCCUACGGGAGGCAGCAGUGGGGGAUAUUGCACAAUGGGGGAAACCCUGAUGCAGCGACGCCGCGUGAGUGAAGAAGUAUUUCGGUAUGUAAAGCUCUAUCAGCAGGGAAGAAAAAAGACGGUACCUGACUAAGAAGCCCCGGCUAACUACGUGCCAGCAGCCGCGGUAAUACGUAGGGGGCAAGCGUUAUCCGGAUUUACUGGGUGUAAAGGGAGCGUAGACGGCAAUACAAGUCGGAAGUGAAAUACCCGGGCUUAACCUGGGAACUGCUUUGGAAACUGUAUGGCUGGAGUGCUGGAGAGGUAAGCGGAAUUCCUAGUGUAGCGGUGAAGUGCGUAGAUAUUAGGAGGAACACCAGUGGCGAAGGCGGCUUACUGGACAGUAACUGACGUUGAGGCUCGAAAGCGUGGGGAGCAAACAGGAUUAGAUACCCCAGUAC